Molecule: ribosomal RNA, 160 nt
Filed under: Salmonella enterica subsp. enterica serovar Enteritidis str. 10-34587
Lineage: Bacteria; Pseudomonadati; Pseudomonadota; Gammaproteobacteria; Enterobacterales; Enterobacteriaceae
Description: partial 16S ribosomal RNA
Rfam family: Bacterial small subunit ribosomal RNA
Source: RNAcentral
UCCCGGGCCUUGUACACACCGCCCGUCACACCAUGGAGUGGGUUGCAAAGAAGUAGGUAGCUUAACCUUCGGGAGGGCGCUUACCACUUUGUGAUUCAUGACUGGGGUGAAGUCGUAACAAGGUAACCGUAGGGGAACCUGCGGUUGGAUCACCUCCUUA